CCAGAUGUAUUGGGCGUAAAGAGCUCGUAGGUGGUUGGGCAAGUCGAAUGUGAAAUCUCCACGCUCAACGUGGAGGGGUCAUUCGAUACUGCUGUGACUCGAGUCCGGUAGGGGAGUGUGGAAUUCCCGGUGUAGCGGUGAAAUGCGCAGAGAUCGGGAGGAACACCGGUGGCGAAGGCGGCAUCCUGGACCGGUAUUGACACUGAGGCGCGAAAGCCAGGGGAGCAAACGGG
This 233-nucleotide ribosomal RNA is filed under the name uncultured bacterium. RNAcentral's name for it is "partial 16S ribosomal RNA". It matches the Rfam family "Bacterial small subunit ribosomal RNA", at positions 545 to 776 of the family's 1533-position model. The record is from RNAcentral.